GGUGCUGCCCAGUGCCAAUGGAGUGAAUGGACAUAACCCGCGCGGGGCGCAGUCUUCUCAAUUCUUCUUCCUGACCCUCACAAGUCACAGCCGCCAGCGACAUGACUUGCGCCACCCGGAGCCCCGGCUUCCUCCGCGAGGCCGAGCUCCGCCUCCUCCGCUGCACUCUCCCCUCGCUGCCCUCUUCCCCGCCCCCACCCGCUUCCCCUCCCCCUGCGCAUCCGCUCGGUCCCGCCGCGGCCUCUGCGAUCGCUGCCGUUGAGGCCGGCGACUACGAGGCUGCGCUCGCCACCGCCGCGCCGCACUUCUUUCCGGCAUUCGCCCCCUCUAGGCCUCCUGGCUCAGCCGCGCAGUUCUACGCCGACCUAGGUGCCGCAGCUCGGGCGUUCCUGCUGGUCGAUGGGGACGGGGCAGCGGCGGGAGAGGGGUUCGAUUGCAGGUGCGCAGUUGUGCUUUCCGCUGCAGUGGCCGCGCUGCUCGCGUUCACGCAACAGAACGUGACUGGGCCUCCAAGGAAGUUUCCCACUUUUCCUUUUUCAAUGUCAUCUUUUGAUGAAAGAUGCUAUAGUAAUCUUGGAGACACAUGGGAUGCAUGGGCUUCUGACAAUUUAGCUUCUUUUGGCUCUCAUGUUCAUGGGAAAUUUUCACUCUUGCAGUUCAUUGUAUUUGCAAGGCUUUUGUUUACCAGCGUACAGAGUCUGGAUCUCUCUGAUUGCUGGAGCGUGUCAUGGUGGUUGUUUAGAAUAUCAAUGUUGCAGCAGAACAUCUUGGAUGAGUUAUCAUCGUCUCUGUUUGAUCAAGUGCAAGUGUACAAGAAUAAGAUGUUGGAUCAUUUUGGUGAACUGGAAAAGGUUUCUACCUACUGGGAUUGUUUACUGUCUGAUGGAGAAGGUUCUUAUUUUGUUUCAGCUGCUUUCUUAGAGGCUGGAAUCGUGGAAUACAAAUAUGGUCGGGUUGAUGCUUCAAGGUUGCAUCUCAAUAGCGCACAAGAAGCAUGUGGUCUGCACCUUUCCCUUACAGGGAUCCUUGGUUUCCGAACAAUAUACCAGGUGGAUGCGAAGUCUCAAAUGGUGCUUGUUGCGAAGACCAAUAAGUCAGGCCCUGAUGAAGGACAAGUGACAGAACCCACAGUAGCUCAGAAUGACAAUGCAGCUUUGAAAAAUGCAAGGAGCUUCGUUCCUGUUGAAGACGAUGAAUUCUGUGACAUACUAAGAAUGCCCAGACUGGUGCAAGAUGGGAGUAAUUCUGCCAGUGAAGACGCCACGAACCCCAGUGCAAAAAUAUCACUAUCGGCUAUACAGCAGGCUGCUGUACUUGCACAAUGCUUGUAUGUGAGCCGGAGGAGUCGUGUUGAUGAAAUGUCUGGGUGGGAGAUGGCACCAUACAUAGAGUCGAUUGAUUCUCAGGAUGAAUCUUACUUUGUGGUCAGGAGUUUGUGCGAUAUACUGCGUGUUAGAUGGGAGUCAACCCGCAGUCGGACAAAGCAGCGGGCAUUACUAAUGAUGGAGAAUUUGGUUGAAGAUAUCAGCAAAGAAUUCCCUGCUGCCCCACAAAGAGUUAAAAUGGUUUUUGCGGUUCAUAUGCCAACUCUUCCUGCAUUGAGGAAAGAAUAUGGUGAACUUUUGAUCAGUUGUGGCAUAGUUGGAGAAGCACUGGAGAUAUUUAAAGAUCUUGAAUUGUGGGACAAUUUAAUAUAUUGCUAUCGAUUGUUAGGUAAAGUGGCUGAUGCAGUUAGUCUAAUAAAUGCUCGACUUUCUGUUACACCAAAUGACCCAAGGUUAUGGUGUUCACUUGGUGAUGUUACAAAUAAUGAUGACCAUUAUAAAAAAGCAUUGGAAGUUUCAAAUAAUAAAUCUGCGCGAGCUAUGCGCUCUCUGGCUCGCAGUGCAUACAACAGGAAUGACUUCCAUACAUCCAAAAUUCUAUGGGAAUCUGCAUUGUCGUUGAACUCUUUGAUUCCAGAUGGCUGGUUUGCAUAUGGCACAGCUGCAUGGAAGGACAAGGAUCUUGACAAAGCUGUGGAUGCGUUUAGUCGUGCUGUACAGAUAGAUCCUGAGAAUGGAGAAGCAUGGAACAACAUAGCCUGCCUGCACAUGAUUAGAGGAAAAAGCCAAGCAGCAGUCCAAGCAUUCAGGGAAGCUGUAAAGUUCAAGAGGAAUAGCUGGGAAAUUUGGGAAAAUUACAGUAAAGUUGCUUUGGACACAGGGAAUAUUAGACUGGUAGUGUUCCUUGAACAUAUAUGCAGUAGAUAAUGUGCCCCCUCCCCUCUGCAGACACUUGAAGCUUUGAAAACUGUAUUGAAUUUAUCCUCAAACAAGCAGUUUAGUGUUGGUAUAUUGGACAAGGUGAUGACAAUGCUUGAAGAACAAUCUCCAGAUUUUGUUGAUACUCACGAAGCAUCAGAUGAUGCAAAUAAAGAUACAAGACAAUCCAAUCAAUUAUUAGAUAUUACUGGUGAUAUCCUCCAGCAGAUUGUGCGAAGUGGAGGCAGCAAUGCAGCCAUAUGGGGUUUGUAUGCAAGAUGGCAUAAGACCAAGGGUAACCUCAUAGCAUGUUCUGAAGCUUUGUUGAAGCAAGUUCGAUCCCUUCAGGGCUCAGGAUUAUUGCAUGACCAAAUGAAGUUCGCAAAGUAUGCUCAAGCUUCCUUAAAGCUUUGCAAGGUGUACAUGGAAAUUUCUUCCUCAACUGGAAGCCGACGAGAAUUAUUAACAGCUGAGAUGCACCUUAAAAGUACCUUGAAACAGACGAUGGACUUCUCAGACACUGAGGAGUACAAAGCUCUUGAUAACUGUCUUGAAGAAAUAAAGAACCUGAUUGCCGCUACUGCCUAGGUUGUUGCAUCCAAGUUUUGGACGCUGGUUAUGAUAAUGUAUUGUCCGUUUCUAAUUAAGCAUUUCUAUUGUUGUCUUGUUGGGAAUCAAGAUCACAUUAUCGGACUCUGUUAGCACACACAAGGAUGCCAAGACAAGUGAACCUGCGCCAGAGACUGGAAGCGAAGAUGGUGUGCUGCUACAGCCAAGAUUAAAAAGGAAGCUUAAGCCCAAUAGCAAGGUGUCCGGCCUAGAGUGGGUUCGUUGACUGUAAUAGUGUGGCCCAGUCGUUGUGCCAUAUGUAUGGCUUCAGUCUGUAAACUGGGACAUCGAAAAAAAGAACAGAAAACACUACUGCCUAUCUUCUUCCCCUCUUCCAAGUCUUCUCCUUCCCUGCCGCCGUCUUGCUUUCCCCUUCCUCCUGGAAGCUAACAGUGGUAUCAAAGACCAUCGUUCCUCGGA
RNA transcript from Zea mays, 3272 nucleotides. It is a transcript of the gene named tetratricopeptide repeat protein 27 homolog, with no coding region annotated. The record is from RefSeq and is a predicted model, not a curated record. Lineage: Eukaryota; Viridiplantae; Streptophyta; Magnoliopsida; Poales; Poaceae. The transcript is spliced from 21 exons.